GCAUUGGUGGUACAGUGAUAGAAUUCUCACCUUCCAUAUAGGAGGCCCAGGUUUAAAUCUUAGCCAAUGCA
RNAcentral lists this transfer RNA (71 nucleotides) under Loxodonta africana (African savanna elephant). It matches the Rfam family "tRNA". From Rfam's summary of the family: Transfer RNA (tRNA) molecules are approximately 80 nucleotides in length. Their secondary structure includes four short double-helical elements and three loops (D, anti-codon, and T loops). The record is from Rfam by way of RNAcentral. Lineage: Eukaryota; Metazoa; Chordata; Mammalia; Proboscidea; Elephantidae.